RNAcentral lists this ribosomal RNA (278 nucleotides) under uncultured Staphylococcus sp. RNAcentral describes it as "partial 16S ribosomal RNA". It matches the Rfam family "Bacterial small subunit ribosomal RNA", at positions 83 to 355 of the family's 1533-position model. Lineage: Bacteria; Bacillati; Bacillota; Bacilli; Caryophanales; Staphylococcaceae. The record is from RNAcentral.
CCUUUGACGUUAGCGGCGGACGGGUGAGUAACACGUGGGUAACCUACCUAUAAGACUGGGAUAACUUCGGGAAACCGGAGCUAAUACCGGAUAAUAUUUCGAACCGCAUGGUUCGAUAGUGAAAGAUGGUUUUGCUAUCACUUAUAGAUGGACCCGCGCCGUAUUAGCUAGUUGGUAAGGUAACGGCUUACCAAGGCGACGAUACGUAGCCGACCUGAGAGGGUGAUCGGCCACACUGGAACUGAGACACGGUCCAGACUCCUAGGGAGGCAGCAGCC